RNAcentral lists this ribosomal RNA (2903 nucleotides) under Escherichia coli. Its description in RNAcentral is "23S ribosomal RNA". It matches the Rfam family "Bacterial large subunit ribosomal RNA". Lineage: Bacteria; Pseudomonadati; Pseudomonadota; Gammaproteobacteria; Enterobacterales; Enterobacteriaceae. The record is from RNAcentral.
GGUUAAGCGACUAAGCGUACACGGUGGAUGCCCUGGCAGUCAGAGGCGAUGAAGGACGUGCUAAUCUGCGAUAAGCGUCGGUAAGGUGAUAUGAACCGUUAUAACCGGCGAUUUCCGAAUGGGGAAACCCAGUGUGUUUCGACACACUAUCAUUAACUGAAUCCAUAGGUUAAUGAGGCGAACCGGGGGAACUGAAACAUCUAAGUACCCCGAGGAAAAGAAAUCAACCGAGAUUCCCCCAGUAGCGGCGAGCGAACGGGGAGCAGCCCAGAGCCUGAAUCAGUGUGUGUGUUAGUGGAAGCGUCUGGAAAGGCGCGCGAUACAGGGUGACAGCCCCGUACACAAAAAUGCACAUAUUGUGAGCUCGAUGAGUAGGGCGGGACACGUGGUAUCCUGUCUGAAUAUGGGGGGACCAUCCUCCAAGGCUAAAUACUCCUGACUGACCGAUAGUGAACCAGUACCGUGAGGGAAAGGCGAAAAGAACCCCGGCGAGGGGAGUGAAAAAGAACCUGAAACCGUGUACGUACAAGCAGUGGGAGCACGCUUAGGCGUGUGACUGCGUACCUUUUGUAUAAUGGGUCAGCGACUUAUAUUCUGUAGCAAGGUUAACCGAAUAGGGGAGCCGAAGGGAAACCGAGUCUUAACUGGGCGUUAAGUUGCAGGGUAUAGACCCGAAACCCGGUGAUCUAGCCAUGGGCAGGUUGAAGGUUGGGUAACACUAACUGGAGGACCGAACCGACUAAUGUUGAAAAAUUAGCGGAUGACUUGUGGCUGGGGGUGAAAGGCCAAUCAAACCGGGAGAUAGCUGGUUCUCCCCGAAAGCUAUUUAGGUAGCGCCUCGUGAAUUCAUCUCCGGGGGUAGAGCACUGUUUCGGCAAGGGGGUCAUCCCGACUUACCAACCCGAUGCAAACUGCGAAUACCGGAGAAUGUUAUCACGGGAGACACACGGCGGGUGCUAACGUCCGUCGUGAAGAGGGAAACAACCCAGACCGCCAGCUAAGGUCCCAAAGUCAUGGUUAAGUGGGAAACGAUGUGGGAAGGCCCAGACAGCCAGGAUGUUGGCUUAGAAGCAGCCAUCAUUUAAAGAAAGCGUAAUAGCUCACUGGUCGAGUCGGCCUGCGCGGAAGAUGUAACGGGGCUAAACCAUGCACCGAAGCUGCGGCAGCGACACUAUGUGUUGUUGGGUAGGGGAGCGUUCUGUAAGCCUGCGAAGGUGUACUGUGAGGUAUGCUGGAGGUAUCAGAAGUGCGAAUGCUGACAUAAGUAACGAUAAAGCGGGUGAAAAGCCCGCUCGCCGGAAGACCAAGGGUUCCUGUCCAACGUUAAUCGGGGCAGGGUGAGUCGACCCCUAAGGCGAGGCCGAAAGGCGUAGUCGAUGGGAAACAGGUUAAUAUUCCUGUACUUGGUGUUACUGCGAAGGGGGGACGGAGAAGGCUAUGUUGGCCGGGCGACGGUUGUCCCGGUUUAAGCGUGUAGGCUGGUUUUCCAGGCAAAUCCGGAAAAUCAAGGCUGAGGCGUGAUGACGAGGCACUACGGUGCUGAAGCAACAAAUGCCCUGCUUCCAGGAAAAGCCUCUAAGCAUCAGGUAACAUCAAAUCGUACCCCAAACCGACACAGGUGGUCAGGUAGAGAAUACCAAGGCGCUUGAGAGAACUCGGGUGAAGGAACUAGGCAAAAUGGUGCCGUAACUUCGGGAGAAGGCACGCUGAUAUGUAGGUGAAGCGACUUGCUCGUGGAGCUGAAAUCAGUCGAAGAUACCAGCUGGCUGCAACUGUUUAUUAAAAACACAGCACUGUGCAAACACGAAAGUGGACGUAUACGGUGUGACGCCUGCCCGGUGCCGGAAGGUUAAUUGAUGGGGUCAGCGCAAGCGAAGCUCUUGAUCGAAGCCCCGGUAAACGGCGGCCGUAACUAUAACGGUCCUAAGGUAGCGAAAUUCCUUGUCGGGUAAGUUCCGACCUGCACGAAUGGCGUAAUGAUGGCCAGGCUGUCUCCACCCGAGACUCAGUGAAAUUGAACUCGCUGUGAAGAUGCAGUGUACCCGCGGCAAGACGGAAAGACCCCGUGAACCUUUACUAUAGCUUGACACUGAACAUUGAGCCUUGAUGUGUAGGAUAGGUGGGAGGCUUAGAAGUGUGGACGCCAGUCUGCAUGGAGCCGACCUUGAAAUACCACCCUUUAAUGUUUGAUGUUCUAACGUUGACCCGUAAUCCGGGUUGCGGACAGUGUCUGGUGGGUAGUUUGACUGGGGCGGUCUCCUCCUAAAGAGUAACGGAGGAGCACGAAGGUUGGCUAAUCCUGGUCGGACAUCAGGAGGUUAGUGCAAUGGCAUAAGCCAGCUUGACUGCGAGCGUGACGGCGCGAGCAGGUGCGAAAGCAGGUCAUAGUGAUCCGGUGGUUCUGAAUGGAAGGGCCAUCGCUCAACGGAUAAAAGGUACUCCGGGGAUAACAGGCUGAUACCGCCCAAGAGUUCAUAUCGACGGCGGUGUUUGGCACCUCGAUGUCGGCUCAUCACAUCCUGGGGCUGAAGUAGGUCCCAAGGGUAUGGCUGUUCGCCAUUUAAAGUGGUACGCGAGCUGGGUUUAGAACGUCGUGAGACAGUUCGGUCCCUAUCUGCCGUGGGCGCUGGAGAACUGAGGGGGGCUGCUCCUAGUACGAGAGGACCGGAGUGGACGCAUCACUGGUGUUCGGGUUGUCAUGCCAAUGGCACUGCCCGGUAGCUAAAUGCGGAAGAGAUAAGUGCUGAAAGCAUCUAAGCACGAAACUUGCCCCGAGAUGAGUUCUCCCUGACCCUUUAAGGGUCCUGAAGGAACGUUGAAGACGACGACGUUGAUAGGCCGGGUGUGUAAGCGCAGCGAUGCGUUGAGCUAACCGGUACUAAUGAACCGUGAGGCUUAACCUU